This 398-nucleotide ribosomal RNA is filed under the name Polyporus tuberaster. RNAcentral's name for it is "SSU rRNA". It matches the Rfam family "Bacterial small subunit ribosomal RNA", at positions 440 to 861 of the family's 1533-position model. The record is from RNAcentral. Lineage: Eukaryota; Fungi; Basidiomycota; Agaricomycetes; Polyporales; Polyporaceae.
AAGGGAAAAUAAUGAUAAUACCUUACUAUUAGUGUCGUCCAAAUCUGGUGCCAGAAGACUCGGUAAGACCAGAGACGCAAACGUUAAUCAUCAUAAUCAGGCGUAAAGGGUUUGUAGGCAGCUUUCACCCGCCCGGCUUGGAUAUUACUAUUACAAAUAAAGUAGUUUAAUUGAAAGCUAGAAUCAAAAAGAGGUUAUAGUGUAUAACGCCUAGAGGAGGGCUGAUAUCCAUAGAUCCUAGGCAGAAUACUCAGGGCGAAGGCCACUCUCCACUAAUGAUUGACGCUGAGAAACGAAGGUUAGGGUAGGAAAUAGGAUUAGAUACCCCGGUACUCCUUUCUGUAAACGAUGAAUGGUAGUCAUUAGUUUUUUUAAACUAGAGACGAAGUUAACACAAU